ACAAAUUCAUCAUCAAACAUGACAUGGCCUCAAUGGUCUUUAUAUAAUAUGUGUGACAAGAAAUGUACGUAGUCUUCAAAAAGUUCAACUAAGAGAGAGAUCGACACAACAUUGUCAACAAUUCCAGUAGAAUCCUUAUUACCUCAUGCAAUCAUACUCAUACGAGUCACUAGUUUUAAUGGCGGCAUCCACAUUCAUGAGAGGCUCCAAAUAAACAAAAUAAUCCACAAAAUAUAGCUAUGAAGUACUAGCUCAAACAAUCCAUACACAAGCAACAAAAGACUGCCAAAAUUAACUAAUACAUGAUGCCGAACUCAAAUAGUAAAGAACAGAAGAUAGAAUGGACCUUUUGCAGCCAAAAUUCAAAAUAAGCCUUUGAAUACAUCCCGAAGCAAAAUCAAACAAAGAACCUAAACAAAACCCGCGAUAGGAGAACUCGCACGGCUAUCUCGACGACCUCGAUCCUCAGCUCGACCUCUUUUACGAACCCAAGAUUGGAAAAUGACACUGAAACUCGAUUCUUCACUCACAUACUUUUCCUCUCCAAUUUUCUGAAACUUCGAAACUGAAGGAGCAGUGAUGGAACGGAUUGGUGAAGGAAGGUGAGCGGCUGUUUGGUUGUUUUUGUAGGAGGCGUUAGGUUGCUGAUGGUUAUUAAGAAGAAGGGGUAGAUUUGCUCGUUUUCCGGCGACUAUGGUGGUGGGACAGGGUCACAGCAGUAACAAUAGAUGGCUGGUUUGGUGAUUUUGAGUUCGGGUCGAUGUAGAGAGCAUGGUCGUUUGGAGAAGACGAUGGGGGAGGGGUGCUCGCUGCGGCUGUCUCAGAACUUUUGCAAAGUGUCUAUCUUUUUGAUUUUUUCAGGCAUCAUUUUUUCUUUUUUUUGUUUUGUGUAUUUUAGAUUCUUAGGGUUUUAUAGGUCUAGAGUCUAGGUUUACAGCUGCGGCUGUCUCAGAUCUUUUGCAAAGUGUCUAUCUUUUUAAUUUUUC
Molecule: long non-coding RNA, 986 nt
Filed under: Nicotiana benthamiana
Lineage: Eukaryota; Viridiplantae; Streptophyta; Magnoliopsida; Solanales; Solanaceae
Description: long non-coding RNA (NBEN_LNC013476)
Source: RNAcentral